CGCACCUUGCGCCCUUUGGUAUUCCGAAGGGCAUGCCUGUUUGAGUGUCAUUAAAUUAUCAACUUCAUCAACUUUGUUGUCGAUGAAGCUUGGAUGUGAGGGUCUGUGCUGGCUCCCUAGUUGAGUCGGCUCCCUUUAAAUGCAUUAGCAGAGCUUCUUGGCUUUUCUGUCUCUGGUGUGAUAAUUAUCUACGCUAGAGGGUUAAGUCUAACACGAGCUCAGCUUAUAACUGUCUUGUAAAAGACAAUUUAAUUUAUUUGACUUGACCUCAAAUCAGGUAGGACUACCCGCUGAACUUAA
Molecule: unclassified non-coding RNA, 300 nt
Filed under: Henningsomyces sp.
Lineage: Eukaryota; Fungi; Basidiomycota; Agaricomycetes; Agaricales; Schizophyllaceae
Description: partial contains 5.8S ribosomal RNA, internal transcribed spacer 2, and large subunit ribosomal RNA
Source: RNAcentral